AUCAGAUCGCUUAUGCAUAUCGUGACCCAAAGAGUUUGCAUUGAAAGGAAGAACCCCUGCGCCAAUAGGUUUUCUGCGGAUGUGGCGGGGAGGCGUGAAACUUUUAAACGGGAGUUUAAAGCAUAUAAAAGAAGAUCAAUGGAUUAAGACAAGGUGUUUUGGAGAAAUAUAUGGAUGACAGUGUCCACAGAGGAUGGGAAACCUUCCCUCAAGAAUGGAGAUCCUGGAGUUCCCACUGUGACUCAGUGAUAUUUUUGGGCAGAGUUGAGACCAGCUGGUUCAUGGGCUGCAAACCAUAUGCUAUUUUACACUAGAAAUCUCUUUUUCCUCUGAACCUGCUUGCAAUUACUCCCAUCUUCUGAUUUCCUGAAUUUUUGGCACCUCAGUUCAAUUUCUACAUCUGCUGCUUACCUAUCUCCUUCCAAGCUUCUCAGGCUGAGAUGCUGCACACACUUCUGGGAUCUGUUCAUCCUCUGGUUUUGGUGAUAUCUAUCUCCAUCUCUCAAUGUGUUACCUUUCCAGCUUUUUUACUGAGACCAUCACUAAAUGUACUUGCCCCAGAAUUACAUGGAGUAGUAAUGAUUGCUUAGUAACACCACAGUUCAUGUAUAGUCCUUGAGUCAGAGUCGAGAUGGGAAGAAACAACAGUUUUGACAUUCCCAGUGUCCUUGCUGAAGCAAUGAAACAGUUUAUAAAUACGCAAGUAUUUGUGCUUUUGAAAUGACUGGAAAUGACUUCACAAUGGGUCUUAAAAUAUACCAAUUGAAUUUUAUUCCAAAAUGCAAUUAUCUCACUAUUAGAAUGAAGCAUAACAAAUUAGCUGCUAUUGCUGGAAGCUAAAAGAAUAACAGAAAUGAUUUGAAGAACUAAGAAAAUUCUCCAAAUAGUGAUGAAAAAUCAGAAGUUCAGCUCCAUGAACAAUGAUGUCACUGUCAUUAAGACGAAUAGUCUAGUAAUAUAUUAUGUUCAUGACCUGUCUAAAUCUUUAAACUUUUGUUGUCAUAUAGUUAAAACAUCUGCAAUAUUUACAUAUUUCCAGAGAAGAGUAUUCUUUAUUCAUAUGAUUUCAAAAUCCUUUUUGGAUUUAAAAAAAGGCAUGAGAUAAAAAAAUACCAUAUUUUUGAAUUGUCAUUUAAUCUGUUCUUUAGGUACUUUUUUCCUUUGUAAAGGGAUCUGACAUUUUUAUUUAUCUUUAAAUGUCUUCUUCAUGUUCUUCGGAAUAAGAGGUCAGCAUACUUUAAAAUAUUGUGUCUUGGAAUCUAAAGUCCUACUUCGAUGUGACCUAAUUUCUUUUUAUAUUUCCAAUACCUGAAUUUUUAAAUAAGAUAAAUAAGUACUAGGAAUGUAAUGUACAAUAUAAUGACUGUAGUUACCCAUGAUGUAGAUAUAUUUAAAAGUUUCUGAGAGAGUAGAUCCUAAGAAUUCUCAUAACAAGGGAAAAAUAAUUUUUUAUGCUGCUGUAUAGCACAUUUCACUGAACUUAUAUUACCAAUGAACAAAGAUGGGAAGGUCUUUUUUUUUUUUUUCCUUUUUAAUGGCAUUUUUUUUCCAUUGAAAGCCUGUAUUUUAGAAUAUACAGUCUAUUAACUUCAAGCUGUUUCAUUGCUGCUUUGAUAUUUCAUUGUGGUACUGUAUUUGGGGGGUUGUGUAUGUUGAAGAGAGGCUGCUUAGAGGAUGCAAGGUGAGCAGAGCACAGGAGCAGAUCACCUACCUCCAGAUCAUUUAGUUCCACAAGAGCAAAAGCUGGAACUAGAAAUAAGGUUAAAAUAUAAAAAUGUAUGUGAGAAAUCAGUUUUAGUUCAGCAAAACUACAAUUUGAUUUUCAUGAAGUGGAUGAUGAUCAACUUGAAGUCCUUCCUGGUGACAAACUUUUCUAGGGAAUGGUAUUAUAUGCAUUGGGGGAAAAAAAAUCUCCAUUAGUCAUAGUUAGUUAUCAACAAAUAGUAAGCUCCUUGAUGGCAAGAUCUAAGUCUAUUUACCCUUCAAAUAACCUAAUAUAUUAAAUUAUCUACAAAAAGUGUUGAUACAUUGCUCAAAUGUUGUGGAUAUUGUUCAUAGACCAGGGCGUCCUUGUCAUUAGAGAACUCAAGGUCCCAGGACGGAAAGCAGGUGCUAAACCAGGAGACACAGUUCAUUAUGACUUAGUUAACAAAGGUCUGCAUUUAUACAACACAGCAACAACAAUUUUAAGUGAUACGUUCCUGAUGUAUGUAUCUUAGUUAUAAGGGUUUUAUGUAUACUUCUAUUAACGGUUAUCUCAAAGUAUAAUUUAUACUUAAGGAAAAUUUCAUGUCAAUGAUUUGUUCUAAAUCCACAUUCACAAAGUUUUUUUAAAUAUUUCAAUAUUUUGUCUGAUUUUAAGAAUUUUAAUAUUCUUAGCUAAGCUUUUUCAAAGUUGGAUAAUGUCAGCUUUACCAUUUUUUGCCCACAUGUGCUUGCAUUAUUGGUAUUAUAUUUAAUUCAUGGUGUUUUUGUAGAAACUUUAAAAGGCUACACUCUAAAGGCUUACUUAGGCACUUCAAUAUAUGUCUAAUUAUUUGCACACAUGCAAAUUGCCAGUGGGUUCUGCAGCACAGCUCCUGAGACUUGAACACUCAUAGGAAGCAUUCCUAAGACACGAUAGGCAUAGAUCCACACUGCAGAAGCUUCUUUAAUUAAGUACAGACCCAAGCCUCACAUUCCCUCUUAAACUCCUGAGCAAUGACAAGACAUGUAAUCCCACUGUUCACUAAUGAAGUAAAUAAAAGGUGAAACACAGAACCACAUUUUCAAUCUGGAAAAGCCUGUGAAUAAAAAUGCCAAUUAGCAAUUUGAUGAACAUAAAAUUUAAAGACUAUUAACAAAACAGUUUGAAUGCAAAAUAAAAAGCUAAAAUUUGUUCUUAUAAGGAAAAAUAAAGUCCACUAAAACAUUUAUUAUAGAUAGCUAUAAUAAGAGAAAGACAUAAGAAGAGAAAGACAUUGAUAAUGAGGUCAAUGGAAGGUUUGAGGAUUUUUUAAAAUUUUGAAUCCUUCUGAGUUUUGUCUUUCUUAGCUUGUGUGUGAGAACAGUUAACUUCUACUCUCUUAGCAAAUUUAAAUUAUAUAAUACAGUGUUAUCAAUUGUAGUCACAUUUUACACUGGAUCCUCAGACUUUAUUCAUCUUACAAGUGAAAGUUUGUAAUCUUUUAGCAAUCUCUCCCUAUUUUCCCAAUCGCCCCAGCCUGGAAACUGCUUUUCUACACUGUUUCUAUCCUUUGCUCUUAACCUCUAAUUGGAAGACAUAUGAUUUGCAAAUAUUUUCUCCCAUUUGGUUGGUUGCCUUUUCAUUUUGUUCACAGUUUCUUUUGCUGUGCAGAAGCAUUUUAGGUUGAUGUUCCACUUUUUUAUUUUUGCUUUUGGUGUCAAAUCUGAAAAUCAUUGCCAAGACUAAUGUCAAGGAGCUUUUUCCUAUACAGUCUGGCUUUAUUUUGUUACCAUAGAAUGAAUCUUUGACCCUAUAUAACACUUUUGCAAAUGAGUUUGAUUUUUAACUCUGAAUCUAUAUGCAUAUUUAUUUAAAAUCCAUUAACGACAAUGGAUCAUUAAAAUCAACUCUCUAAAGAAAAGUCAAACAUAUUAAUAGUUUUGAAGAUUGUCAACUAAAUAUGCUCCCUUUUGAAAAAAAAAAAGAAGAGCAAACCCUAAGUAAAACAGCUUUUUUUUUUUUUUUUUCAGGCCACACCCAAGGCAUAUGGAGAUUCCCAGGCUAUGGCUGGAAUCCACGCUGUAGCUGCUCGCCUAUGCCACAGCAACACCAGAUCCCAGCUGCAUCUUUGACCUACAACCACAGCUCACAGUAACACCAGAUCCUUAACCCAUGGAUAGAGUCCAGGGAUCUAACCCGCAUCCUCAUAGAUACUAUUCAGGUUUGUUUCUGCUGAGCCACGAUGGGAACUCCCUAAAAUAACAUUUUUAAAGUAACUUCUCCAUUGUCAAUAAAUAUUUCAACCCAUGAAACGUGGCUUCUUGCCAUCAAACUUUGAAAUGAUGAUGACGAUAAUAAUGAAAACAAAAAGAAAACAAAGCUAAGGAUAUUUCACUUGUUGAAUAUCACUUAAGUUAUUGUGCAGACCACUUUCUGAAAUACAUAUUUAGAGUUAAGACACUGAAACAUGUAACAGUUAUUAAUUCUUAACAGACAGAUGUUUAAAAAUAUUUAUUAAAAGAACUACAAAUUCCAAUUGUUUCCUAGAAAUUUCUUUUACAUAUAAUUGGCCAAAUAAAUAAAUUUAACAUCAUCCUAGGUUUGAAUGUGUAUCUUUUAGUGGCCCAAAGAUUAAACAAAUAUUUUAAAACCCAGAGAUAAUACGGAUCUAAUUUAUGAUUUACUGUCUUGCAACUAUGUAGUAUAGAUAACAUGCAGAAUACACCUUUUUCAAAACUAAGAAAAUUCCAUGGAUGUGAUCUGUAAUGGUUAGUUACUUUAUUUCUUUUUUUUUUUAGGGCCGCAUCUGCCACGUAUAGAGGUUCCCAGGCCAGGAGUCUAAUCAGAGAUACAGCUGCUGGCCUAUGCCACAGCCACAGUAAUACAGGAU
Molecule: non-coding RNA, 4556 nt
Organism: Sus scrofa (pig)
Lineage: Eukaryota; Metazoa; Chordata; Mammalia; Artiodactyla; Suidae
Source: RefSeq, a predicted model, not a curated record